RNAcentral lists this ribosomal RNA (1403 nucleotides) under uncultured prokaryote. RNAcentral's name for it is "partial 16S ribosomal RNA". It matches the Rfam family "Bacterial small subunit ribosomal RNA". The record is from RNAcentral.
GAGUUUGAUCCUGGCUCAGAUUGAACGCUGGCGGCAGGCCUUACACAUGCAAGUCGAGCGGAAACGAUGGUAGCUUGCUACCAGGCGUCGAGCGGCGGACGGGUGAGUAACGCGUAGGAAUUUGCCCAGUGGUGGGGGAUAGCCCGGAGAAAUCCGGAUUAAUACCGCAUACGCCCUACGGGGGAAAGCAGGGGAUCUUCGGACCUUGCGCCAUUGGAUAAGCCUGCGUGAGAUUAGAUUGUUGGUGGGGUAAUGGCCUACCAAGUCGACGAUCUCUAGCUGGUCUGAGAGGAUGAUCAGCCACACUGGAACUGAGACACGGUCCAGACUCCUACGGGAGGCAGCAGUGGGGAAUAUUGCACAAUGGGCGAAAGCCUGAUGCAGCAAUGCCGCGUGUGUGAAGAAGGCCUGAGGGUUGUAAAGCACUUUCAGUAGGGAGGAAAAGUUAAUGGUUAAUAACCAUUGGCCCUGACGUUACCUACAGAAGAAGCACCGGCUAACUCCGUGCCAGCAGCCGCGGUAAUACGGAGGGUGCAAGCGUUAAUCGGAAUUACUGGGCGUAAAGCGCGCGUAGGCGGUUAGUUAAGUCAGAUGUGAAAGCCCCGGGCUCAACCUGGGAACUGCAUUUGAAACUGGUUAACUAGAGUGUGGAGAUACCCCGGUAGUCCACGCCGUAAACGAUGUCAACUAACUGUUGGGCGGGUUUCCGCUUAGUGGUGCAGCUAACGCAAUAAGUUGACCGCCUGGGGAGUACGGCCGCAAGGCUAAAACUCAAAUGAAUUGACGGGGGCCCGCACAAGCGGUGGAGCAUGUGGUUUAAUUCGAUGCAACGCGAAGAACCUUACCUACCCUUGACAUACAGAGAACUUUCUAGAGAUAGAUUGGUGCCUUCGGGAGCUCUGAUACAGGUGCUGCAUGGCUGUCGUCAGCUCGUGUCGUGAGAUCUUGGGUUAAGUACCGUACCGAGCGCAACCCUUGUCCUUAGUUGCCAUCAGUUCGGCUGGGAACUCUAAGGAGACUGCCGGUGACAAACCGGAGGAAGGUGGGGACGACUUCAAGUCAUCAUGGCACUUACGACCUGGGCUACACACGUGCUACAAUGGUCGGUACAGAGGGUUGCCAAGCCGCGAGGUGGAGCAAAUCCCUUAAAACUUCUCGUAGUCCGGAUUGGAGUCUGCAACUCGACUCCAUGAAGUCGGAAUCGCUAGUAAUCGCGAAUCAGAAUGUCGCGGUGAAUACGUUCCCGGGCCUUGUACACACCGCCCGUCACACCAUGGGAGUGGAUUGCACCAGAAGUAGUUAGUCUAACCUUCGGGAGGACGAUUACCACGGUGUGGUUCAUGACUGGGGUGAAGUCGGAACAAGGUAGCCGUAGGGGAACCUGCGGCUGGAUCACAUCCUUU